ACGGGGCCCGCACAAGCGGUGGAGCAUGUGGUUUAAUUCGAUGCAACGCGAAGAACCUUUACCUGGUCUUGACAUCCACAGAACUUUCCAGAGAUGGAUUGGUGCCUUCGGGAACUGUGAGACAGGUGCUGCAUGGCUGUCGUCAGCUCGUGUUGUGAAAUGUUGGGUUAAGUCCCGCAACGAGCGCAACCCUUAUCCUUUGUUGCCAGCGGUCCGGCCGGGAACUCAAAGGAGACUGCCAGUGAUAAACUGGAGGAAGGUGGGAUGACGUCAAGUCAUCAUGGCCCUUACGACCAGGGCUACACACGUGCUACAAUGGCGCAUACAAAGAGAAGCGACCUCGCGAGAGCAAGCGGACCUCAUAAAGUGCGUCGUAGUCCGGAUUGGAGUCUGCAACUCGACUCCAUGAAGUCGGAAUCGCUAGUAAUCGUGGAUCAGAAUGCCACGGUGAAUACGUUCCCGGGCCUU
This 468-nucleotide ribosomal RNA is filed under the name uncultured Enterobacteriaceae bacterium. RNAcentral's name for it is "bacterial SSU rRNA". It matches the Rfam family "Bacterial small subunit ribosomal RNA", at positions 916 to 1381 of the family's 1533-position model. Lineage: Bacteria; Pseudomonadati; Pseudomonadota; Gammaproteobacteria; Enterobacterales; Enterobacteriaceae. The record is from RNAcentral.